AGUUAGUUAUGAAUUAAGAAGAGAAAUUGAUCAAAUCGGAAAAUACAAUGAAGUUGCAACACUUCCAUCAUGAAGUUGCAACGCUCUGACGUCAGGUGGCGUACGAGCAGAGCGGGGUGAAGUCGAGGGAGUCACUACAGAGUCGUCGUGUCGAGCGGACGUGCACUGCCGUUCUAGUCGGGCAGUCUACCGCGAACCAUCGUCAUGAGCGGACGUGUCGAAUAAUUACGAGGAGUGCUAUAGUCGCUCACCUAUAACUUGUAGGGACGUCAAGAAAGUGUGAUCGGAAAAGAGUACCUAGCAAGUACGUUCACAUGUCCCGAUGAUUCGGUCCGAAUAUAGGAACCAUGGGUGGUGGAGGGCAAGUAGAGGGCGAGUAGCCCCUUCGCGCUAACGUCCUUAUGCGCGCUAGAUAACGAGAGACUGUGUAACCGUUACGAAUACCGUGACGUUGCCGUGAGUGUGUACCUUAUGCUGUGACUUUAUUUAAUCGUGAUACAAAAACUAUGUGGAAGUAAAUAAAAUGAUUGUGAUACUGAUGACGGCCAUUAUUGUCUUCUAACGCCCACCCUCCAUUAUGAUGAUGAUGUUACGACCGACACCCACCCACUGUUACGACAUCAGAAGCGGGAUUAGUGGACUUGGAUGAAGACAACGUGAUGCAACGUUCACAACAAGACAAUGCAAGUUUCGAUUAUCACAAUCGGAAGAAGAUUAUGAUGAUUAUCACAUUCGUGUGACCACGUGAUGAAAAUGCCAUGCCUGAAUUUGGAGAUGGAUCUGAAUUUGAAGUGACCUGGACCUUGUUAAUGAUCGGCAUCACUACACGCCAUAAGAUAUGAUGGCGUGAACAUCACAAUAUUUCCAUACUGUGUGCAGUCGUGUUUGAAGAUUAUGGUACCUCAACUUGAAAACUGUUAUUACGGUGAGUCGUUUUCAUACUGGAACCUUAUUGUUGUUGACUUUAUUGCUAUGUGAAUUUCCGUUUCUAAUAAUGAGGAAAUUGAUUUAAAAUUAACUUGGAAAUUACUAUUUCCCUUUGUUUAAAAAGAAAAUUGACGAGAUAUAUUGUGUCAACCCGUGUCAAUCAUAACCGCGUUUUCCAAUCUGUUUUCAUCAUCGGCAAAUCUUUGUAUUUUGGUCUAAAAAUAUUUCGAAUUGGUGUAGACACGCUUGACCUGCGUGGUUAAAGUUGUAUUUUCUCACUCCAAGCAAAAAGAAAUUAAUCAUGACAUGAUAAUUGAGUCUCGUUAUAUAACGUGUUUUGUAAUCUACCGUCAUUCAUCAAAUGUUUCAAUAUUCAAUAUUCUUUAUUUGUAAUCUUUUUAAACCGAUUGAAAGAAAGUCAUGUGAAUACGAUAAUACAGUGAAUUCUUUUGUUUCAUGUCAUAACUUGCCACGUGGUUCGGCAACUGGUGGAUUGCUAGCGGCGAUGUAAGUGGUGCGGCCUGAGCUGUAGCCAUGUAAAGUGACGACAUCAUGGCAGCGCGUUGUAUACCAGCCGGACUUGCUGCGCUGGUGAAGACCUAAACCAUGUCACAAGACCAGUGGUUGAUCUUUUAUUGGAAAUUCUUAUAAGUCCUGGUGAGUCGUAUCUGUUUUACCUGAUUUGAAUAAUGGAAUUUUUAUUAGGUUUCAAACGAAUAUAGUGCAGAAAGUUCUCUUUUGUUAACUUUAAUUAAAUUGGAAAUCGUAAUGAAGUGAAGUAAACAUUGCGAAGUAAAAUGAUUUGGAUUAUGAUUAAAUGAAAUAGGCUUAAAAAAUGCCCGAAACAGUAAAUCAUUAGUGAGAAAAUUGGAGCAAAACAUUCUAAAUAAUGAUAAUACCGAAUUGGUAAUUGUUUAAAUGCGGUAAUGUUUCCUCGAGGUGUUGGUCGCUACACUGUGACUUUAUGACUUGUGUGUGUGAGAGCAGGGUGCUCUGUCGUUUUGUGGUCGUGGACCAUGGUGGCCAUCCCGGGAGGGGAUGUUGUGACUUAUGACUGUUUUGUAGCGUAACCACAGUUUGGGGAGGAAUAUUACAGUCUGUUGUGCUUUGCAGUAGAUGUGUAAUAAUGUUAAUUGAUUUAAUUGAGCAAUGACAGCUAUGAUUGACCUGUUUCGGAGCAACUCUGAUAGGAAGCUGCGCACUUGUAGUGUUCGGGGCUGCAGCCACUUUUGUGCUGCUCGUCUUAGAAACUACAGGUAUGCGGUCGAGGCCUGGAUGUCAUGUUGACUUUGUAUUUGGUCAUGACAUUGUACCUGAAUCUAAGUCAAGUUGACUUCCGGUAGAAUUAGUCAAACUACACGAAUUAGAAAUUAGUGAUGUAGAAGAAAUUUGUAACCCAUGGACCACUAUUCUACCAACUAAAAUGUAAAGUUUGUGUGCUAGCUGUGUUGAGAUAUCGUCACUUGGUGCAAGUGGCAUGAGUUGCUGUCGCUCGAUUUAGGUGGCAGCAACGACUGUGUUGAGAUAUCGUCACUUGGUGUAAGUGGCAUGAGUUGCUGUCGCUCGGUUUAGGUGGCAGCAACGACUGUGUUGAGAUAUCGUCACUUGGUGUAAGUGGCAUGAGUUGCUACCGCUCGAUUUAGGUAGUAGUGACGCCUGGUUGUGAGAUAUCGUCACUUGGUGUAAGUGGCAUGAGUUGCUACCGCUCGAUUUAGGUGGUAGUGACGCCUGGUUGUGAGAUAUCGUCACUCAGUAGAGUGGCAUGAGUUGCUACCGCUCGAUUUAGGUGGUAGUGACGCCUGGUUUUGAGAUAUCGUCGCUCAGUAGAGUGGCAUGAGUUACUAUCGCUCGUUUAGGUGAUAGUAACGACCGAUGUGUAAAGAGUAAUUGGAUUUUCAAGUUUGGUUGUUUAUAGUGUGUGAAUACUGGUCAAUGGUCCGUGUAUUGUUAGUUGAUGAUUUAUCAUGAUGUAAUAUGAGCUCGUGUAGAGUCACAAGUAGAGCUCGUGUAGAGUCACAAGUAGAGCUCGUGUAGAGUCACAAGUAGAGCUCGUGUAGAGUCACAAGUAGAGCUCGUGUAGAGUCACAAGUAGAGCUCGUGUAGAGUCACAAGUAGAGCUCGUGUAGAGUCACAAGUAGAGCUCGUGUAGAGUCACAAGUAGAGCUCGUGUAGAGUCACAAGUAGAGCUCGUGUAGAGUCACAAGUAGAGCUCGUGUAGAGUCACAAGUAGAGCUCGUGUAGAGUCACAAGUAGAGCUCGUGUAGAGUCACAAGUAGAGCUCUUGUAGAGUCACAAGUAGAGCUCGUGUAGAGUCACAAGUAGAGUCUCAUGUUGGUCAGGAAUGACCGAGCGAACUUGGAUACUGUGCUGUGGUAUAUUGUUUCAGAUUAACACACGAGGACGUGUGUCACGCAGGAUGGCCGUGUCGGAGUUAGUUAUGAAUUAAGAAGAGAAAUUGAUCAAAUCGGAAAAUACAAUGAAGUUGCAACACUUCCAUCAUGAAGUUGCAACGCUCUGACGUCAGGUGGCGUACGAGCAGAGCGGGGUGAAGUCGAGGGAGUCACUACAGAGUCGUCGUGUCGAGCGGACGUGCACUGCCGUUCUAGUCGGGCAGUCUACCGCGAACCAUCGUCAUGAGCGGACGUGUCGAAUAAUUACGAGGAGUGCUAUAGUCGCUCACCUAUAACUUGUAGGGACGUCAAGAAAGUGUGAUCGGAAAAGAGUACCUAGCAAGUACGUUCACAUGUCCCGAUGAUUCGGUCCGAAUAUAGGAACCAUGGGUGGUGGAGGGCAAGUAGAGGGCGAGUAGCCCCUUCGCGCUAACGUCCUUAUGCGCGCUAGAUAACGAGAGACUGUGUAACCGUUACGAAUACCGUGACGUUGCCGUGAGUGUGUACCUUAUGCUGUGACUUUAUUUAAUCGUGAUACAAAAACUAUGUGGAAGUAAAUAAAAUGAUUGUGAUACUGA
Molecule: long non-coding RNA, 3895 nt
Filed under: Pectinophora gossypiella (pink bollworm)
Lineage: Eukaryota; Metazoa; Arthropoda; Insecta; Lepidoptera; Gelechiidae
Description: uncharacterized LOC126372588
Source: RNAcentral